UACGGAGGGUGCGAGCGUUGUCCGGAAUCACUGGGCGUAAAGGGCGCGUAGGCGGCCUGAUAAGUAGGGGGUGAAAUCCUGCGGCUUAACCGCAGGGCUGCCUUCUAAACUGUCAGGCUGGAGCACAGUAGAGGCAGGUGGAAUUCCCGGUGUAGCGGUGGAAUGCGUAGAGAUCGGGAAGAACAUCAGUGGCGAAGGCGGCCUGCUGGGCUGUUGCUGGACGCUGAGGCGCGACAGCGUGGGGGAGCAAACAGGGA
This 257-nucleotide ribosomal RNA is filed under the name uncultured bacterium. RNAcentral's name for it is "partial 16S ribosomal RNA". It matches the Rfam family "Bacterial small subunit ribosomal RNA", at positions 524 to 778 of the family's 1533-position model. The record is from RNAcentral.